GAUUAACGCUGGCGGCGUGCCUAACACAUGCAAGUCGAGCGGCAGCGAGUUUUACACUGAAUUCUGGAAGCUUCUAGUUGAAAGAGAAGAUCUAUUCAAGAAUUUUGUGUAAAAUGUCGGCGAGCGGCGGACGGCUGAGUAACGCGUGGGAACGUACCUCAAAGUGAGGGAUAACGCAUCGAAAGGUGUGCUAAUACCGCAUAUGGUCUUCGGAUUAAAGCCUUCGGGUGCUUUGGGAACGGCCUGCGUAAGAUUAGAUAGUUGGUGGGGUAAUGGCCUACCAAGGCGAGGAUCUUUAACUGGUAUGAGAGGAUGAUCAGUCAGACUGGAACUGAGACACGGUCCAGACUCCUACGGGAGGCAGCAGUGAGGAAUCUUCCACAAUGGGCGAAAGCCUGAUGGAGCAACGCCGCGUGCAGGAUGAAGGCAUUCAAGUUGUAAACUGCUUUUAUAAGUGAGGAUUAUGACAGUAACUUAUGAAUAAGGAUCGGCUAACUACGUG
This 502-nucleotide ribosomal RNA is filed under the name uncultured bacterium. Its description in RNAcentral is "partial 16S ribosomal RNA". It matches the Rfam family "Bacterial small subunit ribosomal RNA", at positions 28 to 507 of the family's 1533-position model. The record is from RNAcentral.